GAGCUUUUGUACUUUCGUGAAUACCUUUCAUGUCAAGGGUGACAACAACUUAUCAUAGGAAACGUGCAAUUUUUGAUUGAGGAAGUGAUGGAGAUUCAAGCCCACUACCUGUCUUAAGUUAUAAAUUACGAGAAGAGAUUUGGGACUAUUACUUCACUUGUAAACUAGUCAACAGAAGUCCAAGAUUACAACACUUCAAAGAUGAAGAUCUCGUACUUUGCCUUGGCCACCCUACUCCUAACCCUGAUGCUGAUAUCUACAGACAUUCAAGCAGUGACACAAGAGGAGUGCAAGAGCAUAUGCAGAAGUGAUCCCAACUAUAUCACGUGCCGAAAUCAUUGUAUUGCGAAUGGUUGCAUUGAUUGCGAGACUCAACUCCUAGAUCCUUGUGUGGCUGAAUGUCUUUUAAAUUAGUGCAAAAAUAAGGAGAGAAGUUGUAUUACUUGAAAUAAUUGAAAAAAUAUAUCCAUGUACACGCAAUGUAAACUUAUUCUAUAUUAUAUUUAAUAAAAUAUAAUUCACUUUAAAAA
Molecule: long non-coding RNA, 530 nt
Organism: Actinia tenebrosa (Australian red waratah sea anemone)
Lineage: Eukaryota; Metazoa; Cnidaria; Anthozoa; Actiniaria; Actiniidae
Source: RefSeq, a predicted model, not a curated record